Molecule: long non-coding RNA, 997 nt
Organism: Tigriopus californicus
Lineage: Eukaryota; Metazoa; Arthropoda; Copepoda; Harpacticoida; Harpacticidae
Exons: 2
Source: RefSeq, a predicted model, not a curated record
UAAUUGAAACACUUGCAAUUGGUCAAGGAACUGUAUUAAAGCUGUUUCUUCAUACCUGAGUGGGAACACUUCAUAUAAUCAUAUACAAGUAACUUAAUGCGAAACAAAAUAAGCGGGUUAUACUUUUAGUAGAUUCCAAAAGUUACAAUGCCUUUUCGGGUUCGAGUUAAGAAAUUCGUACAAGUAACUAAUUGUUGGAAGCAAAAUGUGAUCUAUAAAAGUGCUAAAUAAAUCUGAGUUAGGCCGAAUUUCCAAGACCAUGGUACAAUCAUUGUUUUAUCUUUGGUUUACCGUCCUUGGUUUAUGUCAUCAAUUCUUUCACAACCAUAAGUGAAGGAGACUCUGGGGUCACAAAUUAAACCAAAGCAAUACCUUUUUAGACUGCGAAUUAUGAGAGCAUUUGAUCACGCUAUGUACGAAUGGUACAUUUUUCCACAUAGCUAUCACAGUACCUUAAGCUCUCCUUGCUUUCGAUAAUCAGUAAUAUUCACUAAAAUUAUACCAAAAUGUGAACCGAGACUAACAACGCAACAAUUUUCAAAACUUGCAUCGAAACCUAGCCAAUCUUAUUCCAUCCCAUUAUCUCUUAUUGACUUAAAGGUCAAGCUCAGCAAAGUCUGAUAAUAUCCAUUUUCAUGUAAUAUGAACAAAGAUAAUCGUCAUCUUAAAAACUUAGAACUACAUGUCCGUCAUGAAGUGGUCGUCGUCCUUCAUCAUUUUCGCCAUUUUCGUCCUAGUUUCGGCACAAUCUGAGGCCAAAACAGCGCUCUUCAAGACCCAAGGGAUCAUGGAAGAGACUUGUCCUGAAAUUGCCCAAUUGCAUGGAUGGACUUGUCACGAAUCCUAUUUGGAUCGGGUGUCCGCUUUCCGAUGUCGUCAGAUGUGUUCGCAAUCCGAGACUCCAUGCUACCACAUGGAAGAAAAAUCCUGUUUUUGUUGUUCAAAAUGAUUCCUGAUUCGUUCCCUUGAUCCGCAAUAAUAAAAGAAAAGCAUUGGA